CACGUAGGCGGCUCGGUCAGUCAGUUGUGAAAGCCCCCGGCUCAACCGGGGAACUGCAUCUGAUACUGCCAGGCUCGAGGACGGUUGGGGUGAGUGGAACUCCUGGUGGAGCGGUGAAAUGCGUAGAUAUCAGGAGGAACACCAGUGGCGAAAGCGACUCACUGGACCGUUACUGACGCUGAGGUGCGAAAGCCAGGGGAGCGAACG
RNAcentral lists this ribosomal RNA (207 nucleotides) under uncultured bacterium. RNAcentral describes it as "partial 16S ribosomal RNA". It matches the Rfam family "Bacterial small subunit ribosomal RNA", at positions 568 to 774 of the family's 1533-position model. The record is from RNAcentral.